GCCGGGCGUGGUGGCUCACGCCUGUAAUCCCAGCACUUUGGGAGGCCGAGGUGGGUGGAUCGCCUGAGGUCAGGAGUUUGAGACCAGCCUGGCCAACAUGGUGAAACCCCGUCUCUA
Gorilla gorilla gorilla (western lowland gorilla) is the source of this 117-nucleotide non-coding RNA. It matches the Rfam family "Metazoan signal recognition particle RNA". Rfam says of the family: The signal recognition particle (SRP) is a universally conserved ribonucleoprotein. It is involved in the co-translational targeting of proteins to membranes. The record is from Rfam. NCBI's taxonomy places the organism in Eukaryota, Metazoa, Chordata, Mammalia, Primates, Hominidae.